UACGUGCCCGGUUGCCGGUUACCGUGUACGUAGACACUGAGACUAGGUAGGUGCCCGGUUACCGAAUGUAGACAGCCCAACAACCAGAGCUUUCUGAUUUCUCGAACCUUAUGACUAAUGAUUUGGUGGCUAACCGAUUAACAGUCAGCCACCAAGCAUGCUUUGUCUACUAAUGUCUACCUAAUUGUACACAUAUUUACUUCUCUUGUGCUAGAUCCCCCAGAGCUCACGGGAUGUCCCUCCUUGUAGGCCACUCGCCUUGCUGCAGACAGACGCCUGUUGUGUGUCCCCGCGACACCCACCGGUACAAGCGGAAGAAAAAAGUAAAGUUAAGGAACCAGUGAACUCGUCACACGGUGAAGUCGACACAGCUGAAAAACGUGGGCCAAGUUCACCGAAAAGAAAGGUCUGGUCAUGGAGGUUUUGCAGUGCUGCCACAAGCCUGGAGACUAUGUCCUGGAGUCCUGUGAGGAUGUCGUCACCGACAAAUUUGCUGUUCCAGACAAACCUUGGUGUGUGCUGUAGCGGACAGUACUGUCAGUGAUGCGUCCAACGGGCGGCCAGACGGGACCUGCUUUUCUUGGAUUACCCCCCAGGGCGGUGCCACUGAUUGAAGUGUCUUUAGGCCAUUCCCAAAGGGGGAACAUUUCUCGUUCUAA
This is a long non-coding RNA of Aplysia californica (California sea hare), 659 nucleotides long. RefSeq lists it as uncharacterized. NCBI's taxonomy places the organism in Eukaryota, Metazoa, Mollusca, Gastropoda, Aplysiida, Aplysiidae. The transcript has 3 exons. The record is from RefSeq and is a predicted model, not a curated record.